AUGAACGCUGGCUGUGUGCCUAAUACAUGCAUGUCGAGCGAUGAUAGCAAUAUCAUAGCGGCGAAUGGGUGAGUAACACGUACUCAACGUACCUUUUAGAUUGGGAUAGCGGAUGGAAACAUCCGAUAAUACCGAAUACUUAUUAUUUUUGCAUGAAAGUAAUAUAAAAGGAAGCGUUUGCUUCGCUAAAAGAUCGGAGUGCGCAACAUUAGCUAGUUGGUGAGGUAACGGCCCACCAAGGCGAUGAUGUUUAGCGGGGUUGAGAGAUUGAUCCGCCACACUGGGACUGAGAUACGGCCCAGACUCCUACGGGAGGCAGCAGUAGGGAAUAUUCCACAAUGGACGAAAGUCUGAUGGAGCGACACAGCGUGCAGGAUGAAGGCCCUAUGGGUUGUAAACUGCUGUGGUUAGGGAAGAAAAAGUAGCAUAGGAAAUGAUGCUACCUUGACGGUACCUGAUUAGAAAGCAACGGCUAACUAUGUGCCAGCAGCCGCGGUAAUACAUAGGUUGCAAGCGUUAUCCGAAAUUAUUGGGCGUAAAGCGUCUGUAGGUUGUUUGUUAAGUCUGGCGUUAAAUUUUGGGGCUCAACCCCAAAACGCGUUGGAUACUGGCAGACUAGAGUUAUGUAGAGGUUAGCGGAAUUCCUUGUGAAGCGGUGAAAUGCGUAGAUAUAAGGAAGAACAUCAAUAUGGCGAAGGCAGCUAACUGGGCAUACACUGACACUGAGAGACGAAAGCGUGGGGAGCAAACAGGAUUAGAUACCCUGGUAGUCCACGCCCUAAACGAUGAUCAUUAGUUGAUGGGGAACUCAUCGACGCAGCUAACGCAUUAAAUGAUCCGCCUGAGUAGUACGUUCGCAAGAAUAAAACUUAAAGGAAUUGACGGGGAUCCGCACAAGCGGUGGAGCAUGUGGUUUAAUUUGAAGAUACGCGUAGAACCUUACCCACUCUUGACAUCUUCUGCAAAGCUAUAGAGA
This 976-nucleotide ribosomal RNA is filed under the name Acinetobacter baumannii. RNAcentral's name for it is "bacterial SSU rRNA". It matches the Rfam family "Bacterial small subunit ribosomal RNA", at positions 29 to 1006 of the family's 1533-position model. The record is from RNAcentral. Lineage: Bacteria; Pseudomonadati; Pseudomonadota; Gammaproteobacteria; Moraxellales; Moraxellaceae.